Molecule: long non-coding RNA, 3196 nt
Filed under: Salmo salar (Atlantic salmon)
Lineage: Eukaryota; Metazoa; Chordata; Actinopteri; Salmoniformes; Salmonidae
Description: lncRNA (ENSSSAG00000102658.1)
Source: RNAcentral
GAUGUUUAUAAUUUACAGUAGUCAUUAUGUAUGGUUAUCUUGUACCAUACAUGUCAUUUAGAUGUUUAUAAUUUACAAACAAACAUUUUAUUUAUGUAGUUCUCUAAAUCAAUAUAUAGUAGACAAACCAGUUUAAAACCUAUAAGUUUACCAAAUGGUUUAGUAAGUAAAUGUUAAGCGCAGUUGGAUUAAGUGAAGAGGACAGCAGAGAGCCUGGAGAAAAGCCUGGAGCUCGGGAGAGAACUAGGAAAGACGGUCUGAUCCACGAGGGCCAGUGCUGUAGAAAGAGACAAAGACGUGUGGAGCAGCCCAUGAAGAGGAUGGUGAAUGAGAUCAGAGAGGGGGGUUGGGAAGCUCAGACGGAUGACCAGUUUAGGAAGAUCUUCAUGGAAUCCAAGGGGGACAUCCGGAAGAUGAUGGCCGGAGCUGAGUUUGACCGUGAGAAGGAGAUCACCACCAAGAACAUCAUGGAGUCGGAGCGGGAUGAGUCUGACAGAGCGGAGUGGAACGUAGAGCUGGGUGGGGGCGUGGGCGGACCGGGAUCCUGGUGGUUAAGGGGCUGGGGCCGUAGCUGAGGGGUGAUCGGACUCAAGGGGCGUGGCCUGGGUGGUAGAUAGACAUGGCCCCUCCCUCCAUCGAGGUCCCUCCUUCCUGUGUUGCAUGGCAACAAACUCUCCUCCCCCCAUCCAUCUCCCCCUGGGCUAAGGAGGAACUGAGGACUACUGCUGAGAGUGGAACAGGGGCUUUAAUGCAGGUAAAGGGAGUUAGUAAGAGACUUGCUGGUUCGUACCUAUUGAAGAAGUGUACACUGCUUUGACAUAAGCUAAAAUACAUUUUGGGGCGAUAUGUCAGAUGCGUCGGUUGUUGUUGUUGUUUCAGUCUGCUAGCUCAGAAGACAGAGGAUCUCGCAGGCAAGCUGUAGGAAGCGUUCAGUAAAAGAAGAAGAGAGGGGUGAAGGAAGCAGAGGAUGAGGCAAAAUAGUCUCAGGGACAGGAAGCAGACGGUGAGGUAAAAGAGUCUCAGGGACAGGAAGCAGAGGGUGAGGUAAAAUAGUCUCUGGGACAGGAAGCAGACGGUGAGGUAAAAGAGUCUCAGGGACAGGAAGCAGAGGGUGAGGUAAAAUAGCCUCUGGGACAGGAAGCAGAGGGUAAGGUAAAAGAGUCUCAGGAACUGGAAGCAGAGGGUGAGGUAAAACAGUAUCAGGGACAGGAAGCAGAAGGUGAGGUAAAAGAGUCUCUGGGACAGGAAGUAGAGUGUGAGGUAAAAGAGUCUCAGGGACAGGAAGCAGAGGGUGAGGUAAAAGAGUCUCAGGGACAGGAAGCAGAGGGCGAGGUAAAAGAGUCUCAGGGACAGGAAGCAGAAGGUGAGGUAAAAAAGUAUCAGGGACAGGAAGCAGAGGGUGAGGUAAAAUAGUCUCUGGGACAGGAAGCAGAGGGUGAGGUAAAAUAAUCUCAGGGACAGGAAGCAGAGGGUGAGGUAAAAGAGUCUCUGGGACAGGAAGCAGAGGGUGAGGUAAAAUAGUCUCUGGGACAGGAAGCAGAUGGUGAGGUAAAAUAGUCUCUGGGACUGGAAGCAGACGGUGAGGUAAAAGAGUCUCAGGGACAGGAAGCAGAGUGUGAGGUAAAAGAGUAUCAGGGACAGGAAACAAAGGGUGAGGCAAAAGAGUCCCAGGAACAGGAACAGGAAGCAGAGGGUGAGGUAAAAAAGUAUCAGGGACAGGAAGCAGAGGGUGAGGUAAAAGAGUCUCAGGGACAGGAAGCAGAGGGUGAAGUAAAAGAGUAUCAGGGACUGGAAGCAGAGGGUGAGGUAAAAGAGUCUCAGGGACAGGAAGCAGAGGGUGAGGUAAAAUAGUCUCAGGGACAGGAAGAAAUAAAAGAGGAGAUGAAGGAAGAAUGAAAAUACUGAGAUUCAGGCAGCAAAGAAGAAGGAAAAUUGGAUUAGAAACAAGAGGGAAAUGUAGAGGAGGCAUUAGUCGUUGUGUGAUAUACUACAUAUACAAAAGUAUUUGGACACCCUUUCAAAUUAGUGGAUUCGGCUAUUUCAGACACACCUGUUGCUGACGUGUAUAAAAUCGAGCACACAGCCAUGCACUUUCCAUAGACAAACACUGGCAGUAGAAUGGCCCAUACUGAAGAGCUCAGUGACUUUCAACGUGGCACCGUUAUAGGAUGCCACCUUUCCAACAAGUCAGUUUGUCAAAUUUCUGCCCUGCUAGAGCUGCCCUGGUCAACUGUAAGUGCUGUUAUUGUGAAGUGGAAACAUCUAGGAGCAACAACGGCUCAGCCGCGAAGUGGUAGGCCAGACAAGCUCUCAGAACCAGAACGCCGAGUGCAGAAGCACAUAAAAAUCGUCUGUCCUCGUUUGUAACACUCACUAUCAAGUUCCAAACUGCCUCUGGAAGCAACGUCAGCACAAGAACUGUUUGUUGGGAGCUUCAUCAAAUGGGUUUCCAUGGCUGAGCAGCCACACACAAGCCUAAGAUCACCAUGCAAAAUGCCAAGCGUUGGCUGGAGUGGUGUAAAGCUCGCCGCCAUUGAACUCUGGAGCAGUGGAAACGCAUUCUCUGGAGUGAUGAUUCACGCUUUACCAUCUGGCAGUCCGACGGACGAAUCGGGUUUGGCGGAUGCCAGAAGAACACUACCUGCCCCAAUGCAUAGUGCCAACUGUAAGGAUUGGUGGAGGAGGAAUAAUGGUCUGGGGCUGUUUUUCAUGGUUCGGCUAGGCCCCUUAGUUCCAGUGAAGGGAAAUGUUUACGCUACAGCAUACAAUGACAUUCUAGACGAUUCUGUGCUUCCAACUUUGUGGCAACAGUUUGGUAAAGGCCCUUUCUUGUUUCAUCAUGACAAUACCCUAUGCACAAAGCGAGGUUCAUACAGAAAUGGUUUGUCGAGAUCAGUGUGGAAGAACUUGACUGGCCUACACAGAGCCCUGACCUCAACCCCAUCGAACACCUUUGGGAUGAAUUGGAACGCCGACUGCAAGACAGGCCCAAUCGCCAAACAUCACUGCCCGACCUCACUAAUGGUCUUGUGGUUGAAUGGAAGCAAGUCCCCGCAGCAAUGUUCCAACAUCUAGUGGAAAGCCUUCCCAGAAGAGUGGAGGCUGUUAUAGCAGCAAAGGGGGGACCAACUCCAUAUUAAUGCCCAUGAUUUUUGAAUGAAAAAUUUGACGAGAAGGUGUCCACAUACUUUUUAUC